AUUGAACGCUGGCGGCAGGCCUAACACAUGCAAGUCGAACGAGCGGCGGACGGGUGAGUAAUGUAUGGGGAACUGCCUGAUGGAGGGGGAUAACUACUGGAAACGGUAGCUAAUACCGCAUACCAUCAGAUGCACCCAUAUGGGAUUAGCUAGUAGGUGGGGUAACGGCUCACCUAGGCGACGAUCCCUAGCUGGUCUGAGAGGAUGAUCAGCCACACUGGGACUGAGACACGGCCCAGACUCCUACGGGAGGCAGCAGUGGGGAAUAUUGCACAAUGGGCGCAAGCCUGAUGAAGCCAUGCCGCGUGUAUGAAGAAGGCCUUCGGGUUGUAAAGUACUUUCAGUCGGGAGGCGUUACCCGCAGAAGAAGCACCGGCUAACUCCGUGCCAGCAGCCGCGGUAAUUC
RNAcentral lists this ribosomal RNA (406 nucleotides) under uncultured bacterium. RNAcentral's name for it is "partial 16S ribosomal RNA". It matches the Rfam family "Bacterial small subunit ribosomal RNA", at positions 30 to 526 of the family's 1533-position model. The record is from RNAcentral.